RNAcentral lists this ribosomal RNA (820 nucleotides) under uncultured Ralstonia sp. Its description in RNAcentral is "bacterial SSU rRNA". It matches the Rfam family "Bacterial small subunit ribosomal RNA", at positions 9 to 818 of the family's 1533-position model. Lineage: Bacteria; Pseudomonadati; Pseudomonadota; Betaproteobacteria; Burkholderiales; Burkholderiaceae. The record is from RNAcentral.
GAGUUUGAUCCUGGCUCAGAUUGAACGCUGGCGGCAUGCCUUACACAUGCAAGUCGAACGGCAGCAUGAUCUAGCUUGCUAGAUUGAUGGCGAGUGGCGAACGGGUGAGUAAUACAUCGGAACGUGCCCUGUAGUGGGGGAUAACUAGUCGAAAGAUUAGCUAAUACCGCAUACGACCUGAGGGUGAAAGUGGGGGACCGCAAGGCCUCAUGCUAUAGGAGCGGCCGAUGUCUGAUUAGCUAGUUGGUGGGGUAAAGGCCCACCAAGGCGACGAUCAGUAGCUGGUCUGAGAGGACGAUCAGCCACACUGGGACUGAGACACGGCCCAGACUCCUACGGGAGGCAGCAGUGGGGAAUUUUGAACAAUGGGCGAAAGCCUGAUCCAGCAAUGCCGCGUGUGUGAAGAAGGCCUUCGGGUUGUAAAGCACUUUUGUCCGGAAAGAAAUGGCUCUGGUUAAUACCUGGGGUCGAUGACGGUACCGGAAGAAUAAGGACCGGCUAACUACGUGCCAGCAGCCGCGGUAAUACGUAGGGUCCAAGCGUUAAUCGGAAUUACUGGGCGUAAAGCGUGCGCAGGCGGUUGUGCAAGACCGAUGUGAAAUCCCCGAGCUUAACUUGGGAAUUGCAUUGGUGACUGCACGGCUAGAGUGUGUCAGAGGGGGGUAGAAUUCCACGUGUAGCAGUGAAGUGCGUAGAGAUGUGGAGGAAUACCGAUGGCGAAGGCAGCCCCCUGGGAUAACACUGACGCUCAUGCACGAAAGCGUGGGGAGCAAACAGGAUUAGAUACCCUGGUAGUCCACGCCCUAAACGAUGUCAACUA